This 507-nucleotide ribosomal RNA is filed under the name uncultured bacterium. RNAcentral's name for it is "partial 16S ribosomal RNA". It matches the Rfam family "Bacterial small subunit ribosomal RNA", at positions 30 to 523 of the family's 1533-position model. The record is from RNAcentral.
AUUGAACGCUGGCGGCAUGCCUAACACAUGCAAGUCGAACGGCAGCAUGAUAAGAGCUUGCUCUUAUUGAUGGCGAGUGGCGGACGGGUGAGUAAUAUGUAGGAAUCUACCUAGAGGUGCGGGAUAACUUAGGGAAACUUAAGCUAAUACCACAUAAGCCCUACGGGGAAAGCAGGGGAUCUUCGGACCUUGCGCCUUAUGAUGAGCCUACAUCGGAUUAGCUUGUUGGUGGGGUAAAGGCCUACCAAGGCGACGAUCCGUAGCUGGGCUGAGAGGAUGAUCAGCCAGACGGGGACUGAGACACGGCCCAGACUCCUACGGGAGGCAGCAGUGGGGAAUAUUGGACAAUGGGCGAAAGCCUGGUCCAGCAAUGCCGCGUGUGUGAAGAAGGCCUUAGGGUUGUAAAGCACUUUCAGUGGGGAGGAAGUUGUGUGUGCUAAUACCAUAUACAAUUGACGUUACCCACAGAAGAAGCACCGGCUAACUCUGUGCCAGCCGCCGCGGUAA